RNAcentral lists this ribosomal RNA (2953 nucleotides) under marine metagenome. RNAcentral's name for it is "bacterial LSU rRNA". It matches the Rfam family "Bacterial large subunit ribosomal RNA". The record is from RNAcentral.
AGGGCUUACGGGGGAUGCCUUGGCGCUAAGAGCCGAAGAAGGGCGCGGCAAGUCUGCGAUAUUCCCGGAGGAGCGGUCUAGCACGCUGAGUCCGGGGUGCCCGAAUGGGGAAACCUGGUGAAGGUCUUAAGCCUUCAUCAUCUCUAAGGGUGGCCUUAGAGAAGGGAACUGGGGGAACUGAAACAUCUAAGUACCCUGAGGAAGAGGAAGCAACAGCGAUGCCCUGAGUAGCGGCGAGCGGAAGGGGCAGUGCCUAAACCUAGAAGACCUAACGGCCUGGGGGCCUAUGUCUUUUAGGGGUUGUGGGGAUUCCUAUUUAUUGAUCCCAGUCAAUAAACAAUUAUUAUAUGAGGUUAGCCGAAGGUCCCUGGAAGGGGCCGCCAUAGACGGUGAUAGCCCGGUAGGCGAAAACUGAAUAUAAGUUGAGGAAUUUCCCAAGUACCGCGGGACACGAGGAAUCCCGUGGGAAUCUGGGGGGACCACCCUCCAAGGCGACAUACUCUUAGCGACCGAUAGUGAACCAGUACCGUGAGGGAAAGGUGAAAAAUACCCCGAAAGGGGGGUGAAAAGAUCUGAAACCGUGAGCCUACAGACAGUCAGGGUCCACCUUCGGGUGGAUGAUGGCGUGCUUAUUGAAGAAUGAUCCGAGGAGUUUUUGGAAGCGGCAAGGUUAAGGAAGUGGACUUCCGGAGCCGGAGGGAAACCAAGUCCGAAUAGGGCGAAUUAGUCGUUUUCAGAAGACGCGAAACCGGGCGAGCUACCCAUGGCCAGGAUGAAGGUUCGUUAAUCCGAACUGAAAGACCGAACCCGUGAUCGGGACAAAGAUCUGGGAUGAGUUGUGGGUAGAGGUGAAAUGCCAAUCGAGCUCGGAGAUAGCUCGUUCUCCCCGAAAUGCUUUUAGGAGCAGCCGUGAAGUUUAGGAUACCGGAGGUAGGGCUCUGGAUGGGUUAGGGGGCGCGAGCUUACCAACCCCAACCAAACCACCAAUGCCGGUAUACCGUAUUCACGAGUGAGACGGUGAGGGAUAAGCUCCAUCGUCGAAAGGGAAACAGCCCAGACCGUCGGCUAAGGCCCCAAAGUACUGACUCAGUGAAAAAGGAUGUGAGGUUCCCCAGACAGCCGGGAGGUUGGCUUAGAAGCAGCCACCCUUUAAAGAGUGCGUAAUAGCUCACCGGUCGAGGGGUCCUGCGCCGAAAAUGUAACGGGACUUAAGUCAGUCGCCGAAGCCACGGACUUGAUGGAAACAUUGAGUGGUAGGGGAGCGUCCCCGUCUGCGUUGAAGGAUAUCCGGCAAGGCUAUCUGGAGUGACGGGGAGUGAGAAUCUCGGAAUGAGUAGCGUAAACUAUGGUGAAAAUCCAUAGCGCCGAAAGCCUGAGGAUUCCUACGGAACGUUAAACGGCGUAGGGUUAGUCGGGGCCUAAGGUGAGGCCGAAAGGCGUAGCCGAUGGACAGCUGGUUAAAAUUCCAGCACCAUCCAUUGUGCGUUGAAACAAGAAGGACGGGGUAGGAAAGGCGAAGCAUCCCCAUCGGACAUGGGGUGUUGGCCCUUGUAGGCUAUAUGCUGAGGAGGGUCAAAAUCUUUGGCUUAGGUCAAAGAAAUUUCGUUGACCUCCAUGCCUCCAAGAAAAGCCUCUUGCGGAGCUAUAUGGGUGCCCGUACCGCAAACCGCCACUGGUGGGCAGGUGUGAGAACACCAAGGCGUUCGAGAUAACUCUUGCUAAGGAACUCGGCAAAAGGGCCCCGUAACUUCGGGAUAAGGGGCGCCCGGGGUGUGUAGGGACUUGCUCCUGAAGCAUCUGCGGGCCGCAGCGUAGCAUCUCUGGCGACUGUUUACCAAAAACCUAGGUCUCUGCUAAGGGGAGAACCCGAUGUAUAGAGACUGACGCCUGCCCAGUGCCGGAAGGUUAACGAGAGGGGUUAUUCACCUUCGGGUGGAGAAGCUCUGAACCGAAGCCCCGGUGAACGGCGGCCGUAACUCUAACGGUCCUAAGGUAGCGAAAUCCCUUGUCGGGUAAGUUCCGACCCGCAUGAAUGGCGGAACGACUGGAGAACUGUCUCAGCAGGAGACUCGGUGAAAUUGCAAGGCGAGUGAAGAUGCUCGCGACCCGCGGCGGGACAAAAAGACCCCGUGGAGCUUUACUGCACCCUGGUAUCGGACUCGGGUUCGUGAUGUGUAGGAUAGGUGGGAGGCAAUGAAAGGUUUCCGUCAGGAGGCCUGGAGCCGCUGGUGAAAUACCACCCUUCUCCAAUUUGGGCCCUCACUCCGGCUUACCCACCGGAGGACUAUGCCAGGCGGGUAGUUUGACUGGGGCGGUCGCCUCCCAAAAGGUAACGGAGGCGCCCAAAGGUCUCCUCAGGACGGAUGGUAUCGUCCGGUGCGUGUAUGGGCAGAAGGAGGCUUGACUGUGCGGCAUACAAGCCAAGCAGGGGCGAAAGCCGGGCCAAGUGAUCCCACGGUUCCGAGUGGAAGGGCCGUGGCUUAACGGAUAAAAGCUACCCCGGGGAUAACAGGCUAAUCUUACCCAAGAGUUCCUAUCGACGGUAAGGUUUGGCACCUCGAUGUCGACUCGUCACAUCCUGGGGCUGUAGGCGGUCCCAAGGGUUGGGCUGUUCGCCCAUUAAAGUGGUACGUGAGUUGGGUUCAGAACGUCGUGAGACAGUUCGGUCUCUAUCUGCCGUGGGCGUAGGAGUCUUGCGGGGACAUCUCCCUAGUACGAGAGGACCGGGAGGUACGAUCCUCUGGUGUUCCGGUGGUCCUGCCAAGGGCCCCGCCGGGUAGCUAUGAUCGGCCAGGAGAAGUGCUGAAGGCAUCUAAGCGCGAAACCAGCCCCAAGAUAAGGACUCCCAUUUAUUAUGAAGUAAGGUCACAGGUAGACUACCUGAUUAGAGGACGGAGGUGGAAGACGGGUAACCGUUGCAGCUGACCGUUUCUCAUAGACCGAGGCCUUCCCC